Molecule: ribosomal RNA, 468 nt
Filed under: uncultured bacterium
Lineage: Bacteria
Description: partial 16S ribosomal RNA
Rfam family: Bacterial small subunit ribosomal RNA
Source: RNAcentral
GACGAACGCUGGCGGCGUGCUUAACACAUGCAAGUCGAACGGAAAGGCCCUGCUUUUGUGGGGUGCUCGAGUGGCGAACGGGUGAGUAACACGUGAGUAACCUGCCCUUGACUUUGGGAUAACUUCAGGAAACUGGGGCUAAUACCGGAUAGGAGCUCCUGCUGCAUGGUGGUGGUUGGAAAGUUUCGGCGUUUGGGGAUGGACUCGCGGCUUAUCAGCUUGUUGGUGGGGUAGUGGCUUACCAAGGCUUUGACGGGUAGCCGGCCUGAGAGGGUGACCGGCCACAUUGGGACUGAGAUACGGCGCAGACUGCUACGGGAGGCAGCAGGGGGGAAUAUUGCACAAUGGGCGGAAGUCUGAUGCAGCAACGCCGCGUGCGGGAUGACGGCCUUCGGGUUGUAAACCGCUUUCGCCUGUGACGAAGCGUGAGUGACGGUAAUGGGUAAAGAAGCACCGGCUAACUACGUG